CUUUACCGCAUGAGAUUCUCCUCAGAGCACCAGCUAUCAUGAGGGAAACUUCGGAGGGAACCAGCUACCAGAUGGUUCGAUUAGUCUUUCGCCCCUAUACCCAGCUCUGACGAUCGAUUUGCACGUCAGAAUCGCUACGGACCUCCAUCAGGGUUUCCCCUGACUUCGUCCUGGCCAGGCAUAGUUCACCAUCUUUCGGGUCCCAACGUGUACGCUCUGGGUGCGCCUCUUCUCGCAAUGAGAACGAGACGCCCCGGGAGUGCGGGACGCCGCCACUUGGGCUGACACGUCCAUCCUCCCUCGGUCCGAACUAGUCGGAACUUCAAUUUCAUUGCGCCUUCAGGUUUAACAAAACCGUACGACUC
Molecule: ribosomal RNA, 365 nt
Filed under: Ceraon vitta
Lineage: Eukaryota; Metazoa; Arthropoda; Insecta; Hemiptera; Membracidae
Description: partial 28S ribosomal RNA
Source: RNAcentral